RNAcentral lists this ribosomal RNA (349 nucleotides) under Notonemoura alisteri. Its description in RNAcentral is "partial 12S ribosomal RNA". Lineage: Eukaryota; Metazoa; Arthropoda; Insecta; Plecoptera; Notonemouridae. The record is from RNAcentral.
UAUUAGUUAUGUUCUUGAAACUCAAAGAAUUUGGCGGUGCUUUAGUCUUUUCAGAGGAACCUGCUCCCGUAAUCGAUAAUCCACGUAUUACCUUACUUAAAUUUGUUUCAGCUUGUAUACCGCCGUCGUCAGAAUGUCCUUAAAAGGUUAAAAUUUUCUUGAAUUUUUAUUAAAAAUGAUGUCAGGUCAAGGUGCAGUUUAUGUUUAAGUGGAGAUGGGUUACAAUAAACUUAUUUAAAAUGGAUAUAUUUUUGAAAGAGAUAGUUGAAGGUGGAUUUGAUUGUAAUUUAAUUAAUUUAGUUAAUUUGAUUUUGGCUCUAAAGCAUGCACACAUCGCCCGUCGCUCUUA